This is a long non-coding RNA of Notechis scutatus (mainland tiger snake), 200 nucleotides long. RefSeq lists it as uncharacterized. The record is from RefSeq and is a predicted model, not a curated record. NCBI's taxonomy places the organism in Eukaryota, Metazoa, Chordata, Lepidosauria, Squamata, Elapidae.
CUCUUGGAGAGUGAAUUCCAGUCGAGGAAGAAGCCGCGUGUUUCCUAUUGAGAGCCAGACCCUCUCAUGGCCAUGGCUUCAUCUCCCAGAACCCCAGUUCUUUGUAAUGGAGGAUCAACAGCAGCUGAGCUUCCAACGGAGGAUUUGGUAUCAUUUGAGGAUGUAGCUGUGUUUUUCUCCGUGGAGGAGUGAGCCCUGCU